Molecule: ribosomal RNA, 460 nt
Filed under: uncultured bacterium
Lineage: Bacteria
Description: partial 16S ribosomal RNA
Rfam family: Bacterial small subunit ribosomal RNA
Source: RNAcentral
CCUACGGGUGGCAGCAGUGAGGAAUAUUGGUCAAUGGGCGCGAGCCUGAACCAGCCAAGUAGCGUGAAGGAUGACUGCCCUACGGGUUGUAAACUUCUUUUAUAGAGGAAUAAAGUGAGGCACGUGUGCCUGUUUGUAUGUACUUUAUGAAUAAGGAUCGGCUAACUCCGUGCCAGCAGCCGCGGUAAUACGGAGGAUCCGAGCGUUAUCCGGAUUUAUUUGGGUUAAAGGGAGCGUAGAUGGGUUGUUAAGUCAGUUGUGAAAGUGUGCGGCCCAACCGUAAAAUUGCAAUUGAUACUGGCGGUCUUGAGUACAGUAGAGGUAGGCGGAAUUCGUGGUGUAGCGGUGAAAUGCUUAGAUAUCACGAAGAACUCCGAUUGCGAAGGCAGCUUACUGGACUGCCACUGACAUUGAUGCACGAAAGUGUGGGGAUCAAACAGGAUUAGAUACCCGUGUAGUC